This 492-nucleotide ribosomal RNA is filed under the name uncultured bacterium. Its description in RNAcentral is "partial 16S ribosomal RNA". It matches the Rfam family "Bacterial small subunit ribosomal RNA", at positions 29 to 507 of the family's 1533-position model. The record is from RNAcentral.
AGUGAACGCUGGCGGUAGGCCUAACACAUGCAAGUCGAACGGCAGCACAGUAAGAGCUUGCUCUUACGGGUGGCGAGUGGCGGACGGGUGAGGAAUACAUCGGAAUCUACUUUUUCGUGGGGGAUAACGUAGGGAAACUUACACUAAUACCGCAUACGACCUACGGGUGAAAGCAGGGGAUCUUCGGACCUUGCGCGAUUGAAUGAGCCGAUGUCGGAUUAGCUAGUUGGCGGGGUAAAGGCCCACCAAGGCGACGAUCCGUAGCUGGUCUGAGAGGAUGAUCGGCCACCAUGGAACUGAGACACGGUCCAGACUCCUACGGGAGGCAGCAGUGGGGAAUAUUGGACAAUGGGCGCAAGCCUGAUCCAGCCAUACCGCGUGGGUGAAGAAGGCCUUCGGGUUGUAAAGCCCUUUUGUUGGGAAAGAAAAGCAGCAGGUUAAUACCCCGCUGUUCUGACGGUACCCAAAGAAUAAGCACCGGCUAACUUCGUG